AGGGACUUAGGUUAGCAUCCAGACCAAGAGCCUUCAAAGCUCUCAGCGGGAGUUAAAAUCUUCCAGCCCCUG
RNAcentral lists this transfer RNA (72 nucleotides) under Bathyanthias cubensis. Its description in RNAcentral is "tRNA-Trp". It matches the Rfam family "tRNA". Rfam says of the family: Transfer RNA (tRNA) molecules are approximately 80 nucleotides in length. Their secondary structure includes four short double-helical elements and three loops (D, anti-codon, and T loops). The record is from RNAcentral. Lineage: Eukaryota; Metazoa; Chordata; Actinopteri; Perciformes; Serranidae.